UGGGUAUGAAUGUUGUUUUGGCGGCGUGUACGCUGUCCGGUGUUGAUAGACAUCUUAAAAAUUCCAAAAAACUACAUUUUUUCAUUAAAUCAUGCGUGAGGGGAUCGGUUCUGAUUGAGGACAUCGUGAAUGCGUGAGGGGAAGUACAGACAUUUUUUUAAUCUUUGACUUUGUGACUUUUGUUGACUCACUAAAUGUGAUCAAUGCUGAUUAAAAGCACAGAUGUAUCAUUAUACGUUAAUAGAUGUAAACUGAUCAAUGAUUCAAGGAAAUCAAACUAUUAAUUGUUUGUUCAAUUUCAGAAAAUGCCAUUGUUCAAAGGAGGACUGAAAUUGACUCUCUACAAAAAGCCAUGAAGAUACAAGUUAUCCCCGCCCUCGAAGCGAACUAAACCAUCUGGGAGUAGUCCUGUCGUCAAAUAUACGUCACAGAGAUCACCACAUAUAUUUAAGAAAAGUAUAUCGCCGAUCAAAACUUCAACACCUUAUAUAUUAGACGUAAUCUGUUCACCAAAAAUCACGAAAUUUUCGAAACAAAAAAGGCAGAUAUUUAGAAUUUAUUAUUCACGAACAUCGACGAAAGCCAAGAUAAUCUCGAGGAAUACCAUAAGGAAGAGCAUGUAUUAGACAACGAAGAAGUCAUAGAAGAAGACCAC
This 655-nucleotide long non-coding RNA is filed under the name Mytilus galloprovincialis (Mediterranean mussel). The record is from RNAcentral. Lineage: Eukaryota; Metazoa; Mollusca; Bivalvia; Mytilida; Mytilidae.